CAGUGCUGCUCCAUCACACACACACACACACCCGUCUCCGCCUCUUGUCUUCUUCCUCACCCUUCCUCCCGCCUCCCCUACAAAUUGCCUCGCCUGUCCGUCCAUCCCUGUCGCCAGCCCACUCCUUGCACAGUUGCACUUGCCACCGUAUCGACCAACAACUGGUACGUACGAGCGACCUUGGCUAGCAACAACCGGGAGAGGAGAGGAGAGGAGGGAUGGUUCGCUCUUCCGCUGCCACGGAGGUGGGCCAGGUGCCGGACGGGAGGCCGCUGCCGGCUCCCGUGGCCACCGGCGGCGGCGGCGGCGGUACCGGCACGGGAGGCGGGCGGGAGCCGGAGGGCCUGCCGUGCCCGCGCUGCGAGUCCGCCAACACCAAGUUCUGCUACUACAACAACUACAACCUGUCCCAGCCGCGCUACUUCUGCCGGGCCUGCCGCCGCUACUGGACGCGCGGGGGAGCGCUCCGCAACGUCCCCGUCGGCGGCGGCACGCGCAAGGCCACGCCCGCCGGCCGCCGCAAGCGCGCCGGCCCGGCGCCCGCAACCGCGGCGCCGCCUGCGCCUCCGCCUCCGAGCGCGCUCCACGGCUCGCUGCUGCGCCCGUACGGUGGGCUGUCCUUCGCCGCGCCGGCCCUGGCGUCGCCGCUCGCCGCCGUGGACCCGGACCGCCGGCUGCUGGACCUCGGCGGCAGCUUCACGUCGCUGAUCGCGCCAGGGGCCGACGUCGGCGUCCACUUCUCCGCCGAGUUCCUCGUGGGCGGACUCGCGCCGGCGGCCCUGCCUCGCGCGACCGCCUCUGUCCCUGCUCUGCCGCCACCGCCACCGCAGCAGCAUCAGCAGCCGACGACGGUGUCCCAGGCGUUGCCGGAAGGCCUGUUCUGGAGCAUGGGGUGGCCGGACCUGUCCAUCUAAGAGCUCCAUGCCUCCGCCGGUGUCCCAGGCGCGCUCGGUGCAUCGUCCGUCACCGGUGCCCGGCUAAUGACUGCUGCGUGCGGGUGCAUCAUCGCUAAUCUAGCUUUUUCUCUUUCUCUCUUUUAGCUGUUUGAAUUAACAGUAGACUGUAGUGCUGCAUCCAGGUGAUCUUUUUGAGGGGGGCAAGUUGUUUAGUCAUCAUGAAACUUUUCCAGUCAGGAAGGAACUGUGAGAGAGUGAUCUGAUCUGCUGAGGAUGUCAUGAAAAACUCUGCAUGCUCGGUUGCCUUGCCUGCAUGAGGACCUGUGCUGCAGUGCGUGAGCAAUUGAGCUUGACCAACCGAUACCAUCAGCAGAUUGUUUUUUGGGGGGUCGAAAACGUUGAGCUGAUUGGUGCUGUGCUGUUUUCUGUGAUUUUCCUUUCGCGUGAUCUUCUUCGGUGCCGUUUGUCU
This 1365-nucleotide unclassified non-coding RNA is filed under the name Zea mays. RNAcentral describes it as "misc RNA Zm00001eb121160". Lineage: Eukaryota; Viridiplantae; Streptophyta; Magnoliopsida; Poales; Poaceae. The record is from RNAcentral.